GAAGAUUAACACGGAUUAGAAACGACGAAAUUGAAAAAUUUAGGCUUAACUUUUCAAGAUGAGUAAACCGUGAUGUAUUAAUUUACCAGCCGGUAGCUGGUAAAUGAAAAUUUACAUGAAGAAAUACUGGCGCUCUUUGGCAAUAGUGCAUAAUAGGAUUUUGAAGAAAAAUAGUGGCACAGACAACAUGUAUAUCCUGCGCACUUGUUCAACAAAUUGUAUAGAGAACAUGUAACUUUUGAUAGUAUUUUCACAACUUGAAUAGUUUUUAGAAAGUAAAAGAGCCUUACAAUUUAAACUUUUAUCAAGCAUUAAGCGUCUUAGCCGAAUUUACUUAGGGAAAGAAAAGAAUAUAAUCAAGAAUAUUUAGUAAACACUGUCGACGAGAAAGACUAGUUAAGUGAAGUCUAAAUUAAUUUAGUUUGUAUUUGUUAGGUUUACAGUUAGCUGCUUUGAAAAUGGUGCAAACGAAAACAAUGAGACAAGUAGUUUAAUUUACAUAAGGUAGCGAGAAGUUUAAGUAGGGUGACUCAAGAAAAUCAUCCACAAUACGUUUUCUUCAGUUUAUCGCAAGCAGUGACUGUUAUGAAAGUAGAAGAACUUUUUGAUUCUUUCAGCCUGUACUACUUAUGAAAAGUGAACUAGUCUUUUGUUGUGUUUGUUUGUUGAUUUAAGGUCUAGAAAAACAAAUUAAAACUUUAAGCAAUAUAAAUCUCAGCUGGAGUCCAUUCACUUUUAAGAUGUGAGCUGUUUGAGGGCACAAAACAGAAACUGCUUUGUCGGCGGGCGUGAAGCAGUUACUUAAUUAUCAACGUGAAAUGGAAUGCUAUAUGUUAUAAAAAGCGCGAUCAGGAACAAUGAUAAUUUCAGGGCCCUCAAGUAAGUUUGCCAAAGCAGCGAAGAUGAGUUUGUAACAGAUAAGAAAGUGCAUUUUGGGUCCUUGUUUAUCUUUAUUUUCCAACAGUAGAGGGGUUAACACGUCUGAGAAGCAAAAUUUAGUCGGCCAUGUUUGUAUAUUCAGUAUUGGACAGGAACUAGCUUGCAAAUGAGGCAACGGCGAGGAGUGUUUCCAAAUGCAAAUGAAAUUACCAAUGAAAUCUUGACUCUUGAAUCUAAAUACGGAUUUUGCCUUCCUUUUACUUCAUCCUGCAAUGCAAUGGUGUGUUACUAAAGUCCAAACAAAAAUGUGAAUUAAAGCGAAAAAAGAAAACCGUACAAUAUAGAGAAACAAAGGAGCAAAGAAAAUUUAAGACCAAAUCCUUUCUGCGACCAGAGAAAGCGAGCGAAAUGGGCGUGUACAACGAGUCAACGAACCCAAGGAUGAUUGGACCCCUAGUAAACCCUGGGAAUGACGGCGAGGCCAGGCUGGGACGUGGCCUGGACGCUACUCCAUUUAUUAAAGGCCAGUCGAACUUGAUACCAAAUCAUAUCCUUUGACGACGCACCUUAGUAUCGCUUAAAGAAACGAACCUUUUCAAUUAGGAACAAGAUGAAGGAGUGACGAUUGGUUUACUAGACUGGAUUGCGCUCUGAUUUUGCCGGACUCCUCAAGUAGUAACGGGGACUUACAAGGGUGAAGUUGGAUGUCGUUCGGAUUUUGUUCGGAUUCUCGCAUCUCUAGUUUACAUUAGAAAGUAUAAGCCACGCCUUUAUAACGAUACACAUUAAAGUUUAAAUGUAGAUUGCACAAUUGUAUCAAAGAAUAAUUUUAAUGUUCAGAUCAAGAAAACUGUGCUUUAGAAGGCAAUACUAGGUGACUUUCGGUCUCAUGUGCGCUGAUCUUUGUGUGUUGUUUUUCUUUUUUGUGUUCAAUUUGUUUGUGACUGCCAGUUCUGUACUUUUAUAGCCUCAUAUUGGCAGGUGCGCAUGUAUCUUUAUCUUCGUGUACAGUCUAGAGCUGUGUGCCUCUCUUUAUCUUCCUAUGUUGCUUGCAGCUUUGUGCGUUCAGUAACCUUCCGUUUCCGCGUUUACUUUUGUUUAUGACUCAGUGCAAGUUUUGCGUUUAUCUUUGCCAGUGAUCUAAACUUUCAGUUUAGCAUGUCCCUUUAGAUCUAUGACUUCCAGUUUACUUGAAAUGAUCUACGACGGUAUUUCCAGUUUCGCUUGUUUAUGAUUUUCUGCCAAUUUUUAAGGCAUGUUUAUCUUUCUUCGUCUGUGACUUUCAUUUUUUUAGGGAGGUUACCUGUGACGGUAUAUUUCAAUUUUGUUCAUCUGUCGCAGCCAUUUUGCUUCAAUAUCAGCAUGGAGUUAGAGGCAAAAACAUAGACCUACUAAAGAAAUACACGUCUCAGUUGAGAUAGCUUGUUUGAGUUUUUUCUGUUGCCCUGUAGACAAACAAAGUCCUAUUGUAAAAGAGAGACUGUUGUCGCCUUUUUUUGUAUUCUUUCCUCCGAGCUAAAGGGGAGUGGUAAUAUUAUUUACAGUUAACUAUCUUAUCGCUUGUUUUUUAAACAAAUUGACUUUAAUAAGCAAGGAACCAUAAAUUGAAAUCGCUAAUUAAUUAUGGUUCCUUGCCAGGAGUUUCUGACAGCAGUAAAAUCAUGACAGAAAGAUCUAUUGUUGUCUAUUAUUGUGUAUGUGUUUCUUUGAAGGCAGAGGAAAUCCCAUAAUGGAUUGCUCACCAUUUAAUUAUGCGCAUGUCUGGAUAGAUAGAUUGUUGAAGUUCAAUUGUUGCUCGUUUUCCACCUUAUUAAACUGAUAAUGUGAUUGUGUUUUAAGAAUUUUCCAGUAGAAAUAACAAACUCGUGUUGUAACCAGAAAAGUGCGAAACCGAGAAUCAUUUUGAUUUCAAGAUGAAUUACAACAAAGAAAUUCAACAAAGAAAUUUAAAUUGAAACUUUCUACUUCCCUUGACUUCCAACGCAUGAAUUUUCAGAUGAAAUCUGAUUGGCACACCUUUAUAGCAUGACACACGAUAACAUCGUUAAUGACAGUUAAGCAACGUAAUGGCGACAGAGGACUCCUUAAGUAAAUGUAUCAGGUGUUAUUUUUCGCCUUCCCAUAUUCGCUCCCCCCCUGCACCACCCCCCCACCAAAAAAACGCCUGAUGGCAGGUUACCUGUGAACAUGUGAGCGUAUGAGAGCCCGGCUUUGAGUUUGACAAAAGCGAAAGCGUCAAAAGGUAGAGGUCCCGUAAGUUGUCAAUUAUCCAAAAGACUCGUGACCAGACCAGAUUAGACCAUGAUCUCUCCCCCAGUCUCACUCCAGAGAGUGGGAAGAAGAGAGACCCUGGAAACGAGGUUGUCAAUAACUUCCCUCUCUUCCCCUCGCUGUAAUUUUUUAGUUGCCCUACGUACGGUUUCCCUUUGAUGUGAUAGGAUAGAAACACAUGUUCAUGUUGCAAUUAUAACAACAGCAGUGAAUUAGUGGAUCAUCAAACUUUGGUCCAAAUUAGUUCCCACUUUUAUUCUCUGUUAUAUUCUAACAGAACUGAUCAGUGACAUGAACAACGUAGACGAAGUUAUACAAGUCAUCUCAAUCGGCUUCAUUGUUGCCGGCUUUCUUCUCAACACCAGUCGAUAUCUAACAGCCAUCGAAUUAUGCAAGGAAUGCUUGUUCAUUCUGAAAGACAGAGCAGCCAUAAUAGACGAGAAAAUCACCAAAUCAUUCUACAAGGGAAUAUAUUUUACAAUGUGGAAGGCUUGUAAACGUAUCAGGGAUAACACAAACGCCAUAAAAUACGCAGAAAAUACUCUCCUAAUUUACUAUGAAAAUGGCGAAAGACUGUGAAAGAAUGUGAGCUAAGCUUAAAACUUGCAAAAAUGUAUUUUCAUCAUUGUAGAUACCCA
Molecule: long non-coding RNA, 3788 nt
Filed under: Orbicella faveolata
Lineage: Eukaryota; Metazoa; Cnidaria; Anthozoa; Scleractinia; Merulinidae
Description: uncharacterized LOC110064497
Source: RNAcentral